This is an RNA transcript of Vitis riparia (riverbank grape), 2129 nucleotides long. It is a transcript of the gene named citrate synthase, glyoxysomal, with no coding region annotated. The record is from RefSeq and is a predicted model, not a curated record. NCBI's taxonomy places the organism in Eukaryota, Viridiplantae, Streptophyta, Magnoliopsida, Vitales, Vitaceae. The transcript has 14 exons.
GUGCCUUAACCCGUUACCCUAUUUAUACCCAUUCGCGCUUCCAGCCCACCCUCGCUUGUUGCUUUCUUUUUCCUUGCUUCCACACUAUUCUUCAUCAUCAUCUUGUUUCCAAAUUCUUGAAGAAGGAAAAAACAUGGAGAGAGCGGAUUCGUCUGCGCUGGCUCGCUCUCGAUUAGCCGUCCUGUCAGCCCACUUGGAGGCUUGUCUCAAAUCCUCGUCAUUCGGCUCCGUGAUCCAGCCAUCUUGUGUUUCAGCUCAAUCUGGGAUCCAGCCUCCUGGAGAUCUCAAGGGUUCAUUGACCAUCGUUGACGAUCGAACAGCAAAGAAGUACCAAGUUCAGGUCUCUUCCCAUGGGACCGUCAAAGCUACAGAUUUGAAGAAGAUUACAACUGGAAAUAAUGACAAGGGGCUCAAACUUUAUGACCCGGGGUAUCUCAACACAGCUCCUGUUCGGUCAUCCAUUUGUUACAUCGAUGGUGAUGCGGGGAUUCUUAGAUAUAGAGGCUACCCAAUUGAAGAGUUGGCCGAGAGUAGUUCUUUUCUGGAAGUGGCGUACCUCUUAAUGUAUGGGAAUUUACCUUCUGAAAGUCAGUUAGCAGACUGGGAAUUUGCUGUUUCUCAACACUCAGCUGUUCCACAGGGAAUUUUGGAUAUUAUACAGGCUAUGCCUCAUGAUGCUCAUCCAAUGGGUGUACUUGUCAGUGCAAUGAGUGCUCUUUCUGUUUUUCAUCCAGAUGCCAAUCCUGCUCUUAGAGGGCAAGAUCUUUACCAGUCAAAACAAGUGAGAGAUAAACAAAUAGCACGCGUACUUGGGAAGGCACCCACAAUUGCAGCAGCAGCUUAUUUGAGGAUGGCAGGAAGACCUCCAGUUCUCCCUUCCAGCAGUUUUUCUUACUCAGAGAACUUCUUAUAUAUGCUAGAUUCAUUAAGCAAUAGGUCUUACAAGCCCAAUCCUCGACUAGCUCGAGUGCUAGACAUUCUUUUCAUUCUGCAUGCAGAACAUGAGAUGAAUUGCUCCACAGCUGCAGCCCGGCAUCUUUCUUCAAGUGGUGUUGAUGUAUACACUGCUCUUGCUGGAGCUGUUGGAGCAUUGUAUGGUCCUCUUCAUGGUGGUGCAAAUGAGGCUGUGCUGAAGAUGUUGAGUGAGAUUGGAACGAUCGAGAACAUCCCAGAGUUCAUUGAGGGUGUCAAAAACAGGAAGCGAAAGAUGUCUGGAUUUGGGCACCGCGUGUACAAAAAUUAUGAUCCCAGGGCAAAGGUCAUAAAGAAACUGGCAGAGGAAGUAUUUUCCAUUGUUGGUCGGGAUCCUCUCAUUGAGGUAGCUGUUGCUUUGGAGAAGGCUGCAUUGUCAGAUGAGUAUUUUAUUAAGAGGAAGCUAUAUCCAAAUGUUGAUUUCUACUCUGGGUUAAUCUAUAGGGCAAUGGGAUUCCCAACUGAGUUCUUCCCUGUUCUGUUUGCAAUUCCUCGAAUGGCUGGAUACUUGGCACACUGGAGAGAGUCUCUGGAUGAUCCUGAUACAAAGAUAAUGAGACCACAACAGGUGUAUACUGGGGAAUGGCUACGGCAUUUUAUGCCAGUUAAAGAGCGGAUGAUGUCAGCUGAAGCAGACAGACUGGGCCAGGUGUCUAUUUCAAAUGCCACUAGACGAAGGCUGGCUGGAUCAGGAAUGUAACCCCAAUAUGCACAUAUGUUGCAUCAGAAGAGGAUAAAAUAAUUGCUUGAAAAAUUAGGAGAAAUAAAUGUGUAGGAGGUUAAGGUUUCCAGGUUAUGGUGAAAGAAUGUGCAACCCCAUAAAAUAAGAAGCAUAUCAGCUGUGGAUAUGAACAUUGUUACAUGAUUUAAUCUAAAUGUUAAGCUGUCAAAAUAACUUCUGAUGUAGAGGAAAACUUUCCACCUGAAACAUAUCUAGAAGAUGAUGGUAUAAACUUUGAAGUGAAGGCCCAGUAUGAUGAGUUAAAAGUGAACAUCUUCAACAUUACGGAUGCCUAGUGGAUGUUGGUUUCAGGUGCUGCUUGCCCUUUGAUCAUAUGGAUGGGGUUGAUAGGCUAACAAUGCUUGUUUUUCACGUGUCUGUUGUGUUUGCCUUUACAUCUGAAAAUUACUUUGUGGUUAUCUUGUAAUUUGAUUAA